RNAcentral lists this ribosomal RNA (463 nucleotides) under uncultured bacterium. RNAcentral's name for it is "bacterial SSU rRNA". It matches the Rfam family "Bacterial small subunit ribosomal RNA", at positions 28 to 507 of the family's 1533-position model. The record is from RNAcentral.
GAUGAACGCUAGCGGUGUGCCUAAUGCAUGCAAGUCGAACGGGAUCCUUUGGAUUCGUCUGAAGGUGAGAGUGGCGAACGGGUGAGUAACACGUAGGUGACCUGCCCCGGAGAGGGGGACAACCACUGGAAACGGUGGCUAAUACCCCAGAUGUUGUUACGCUUAGAAAGUAAUGACUAAAGUUCCGGCGCUCCGGGAGGGGCCUGCGGCCCAUCAGCUUGUUGGUAAGGUAAUGGCUUACCAAGGCAAAGACGGGUAGGGGGCGUGAGAGCGCGAUCCCCCACACUGGUACUGAGACACGGACCAGAUACCUGCGGGUAGCAGCAGCAAGGAAUAUUGCCCAAUGGACGAAAGUCUGAGGCAGCAACACCGCGUGGAGGAUGAAUGCCUUCGGGUUGUAAACUCCUUUUCUGGGGGAAGAGAAUGGACGGUACCCCAGGAAUAAGUCUCGGCUAACUACGUG